GACGAACGCUGGCGGCGUGCUUAACACAUGCAAGUCGAACGGAAAGGCCCUGCUUUUGUGGGGUGCUCGAGUGGCGAACGGGUGAGUAACACGUGAGUAACCUGCCCUUGACUUUGGGAUAACUUCAGGAAACUGGGGCUAAUACCGGAUAGGAGCUCCUGCUGCAUGGUGGGGGUUGGAAAGUUUCGGCGGUUGGGGAUGGACUCGCGGCUUAUCAGCUUGUUGGUGGGGUAGUGGCUUACCAAGGCUUUGACGGGUAGCCGGCCUGAGAGGGUGACCGGCCACAUAGGGACUGAGAUACGGCCCCGACUGCUGCGGGAGGAAGCAGUGGGGAAUAUUGCACUAUGGGCGGAAGCCUGAUGCAGCACCGCCGCGUGCGGGAUGACAGCCUUAGGGUUGUAAACCGAUUUCGCGUGUGACGAAGCGUGAGGGACGGUAAUGGGUAAAGAAGCACCGGCUAACUACGUG
RNAcentral lists this ribosomal RNA (468 nucleotides) under uncultured bacterium. Its description in RNAcentral is "partial 16S ribosomal RNA". It matches the Rfam family "Bacterial small subunit ribosomal RNA", at positions 28 to 507 of the family's 1533-position model. The record is from RNAcentral.